GGGUUGUGAGGUUAAGCGACUAAGCGUACACGGUGGAUGCCCUGGCAGUCAGAGGCGAUGAAGGACGUGCUAAUCUGCGAUAAGCGUCGGUAAGGUGAUAUGAACCGUUAUAACCGGCGAUUUCCGAAUGGGGAAACCCAGUGUGUUUCGACACACUAUCAUUAACUGAAUCCAUAGGUUAAUGAGGCGAACCGGGGGAACUGAAACAUCUAAGUACCCCGAGGAAAAGAAAUCAACCGAGAUUCCCCCAGUAGCGGCGAGCGAACGGGGAGCAGCCCAGAGCCUGAAUCAGUGUGUGUGUUAGUGGAAGCGUCUGGAAAGGCGCGCGAUACAGGGUGACAGCCCCGUACACAAAAAUGCACAUGCUGUGAGCUCGAUGAGUAGGGCGGGACACGUGGUAUCCUGUCUGAAUAUGGGGGGACCAUCCUCCAAGGCUAAAUACUCCUGACUGACCGAUAGUGAACCAGUACCGUGAGGGAAAGGCGAAAAGAACCCCGGCGAGGGGAGUGAAAAAGAACCUGAAACCGUGUACGUACAAGCAGUGGGAGCACGCUUCGGCGUGUGACUGCGUACCUUUUGUAUAAUGGGUCAGCGACUUAUAUUCUGUAGCAAGGUUAACCGAAUAGGGGAGCCGAAGGGAAACCGAGUCUUAACUGGGCGUUAAGUUGCAGGGUAUAGACCCGAAACCCGGUGAUCUAGCCAUGGGCAGGUUGAAGGUUGGGUAACACUAACUGGAGGACCGAACCGACUAAUGUUGAAAAAUUAGCGGAUGACUUGUGGCUGGGGGUGAAAGGCCAAUCAAACCGGGAGAUAGCUGGUUCUCCCCGAAAGCUAUUUAGGUAGCGCCUCGUGAAUUCAUCUCCGGGGGUAGAGCACUGUUUCGGCAAGGGGGUCAUCCCGACUUACCAACCCGAUGCAAACUGCGAAUACCGGAGAAUGUUAUCACGGGAGACACACGGCGGGUGCUAACGUCCGUCGUGAAGAGGGAAACAACCCAGACCGCCAGCUAAGGUCCCAAAGUCAUGGUUAAGUGGGAAACGAUGUGGGAAGGCCCAGACAGCCAGGAUGUUGGCUUAGAAGCAGCCAUCAUUUAAAGAAAGCGUAAUAGCUCACUGGUCGAGUCGGCCUGCGCGGAAGAUGUAACGGGGCUAAACCAUGCACCGAAGCUGCGGCAGCGACGCUGAUGCGUUGUUGGGUAGGGGAGCGUUCUGUAAGCCUGCGAAGGUGUGCUGUGAGGCAUGCUGGAGGUAUCAGAAGUGCGAAUGCUGACAUAAGUAACGAUAAAGCGGGUGAAAAGCCCGCUCGCCGGAAGACCAAGGGUUCCUGUCCAACGUUAAUCGGGGCAGGGUGAGUCGACCCCUAAGGCGAGGCCGAAAGGCGUAGUCGAUGGGAAACAGGUUAAUAUUCCUGUACUUGGUGUUACUGCGAAGGGGGGACGGAGAAGGCUAUGUUGGCCGGGCGACGGUUGUCCCGGUUUAAGCGUGUAGGCUGGUUUUCCAGGCAAAUCCGGAAAAUCAAGGCUGAGGCGUGAUGACGAGGCACUACGGUGCUGAAGCAACAAAUGCCCUGCUUCCAGGAAAAGCCUCUAAGCAUCAGGUAACAUCAAAUCGUACCCCAAACCGACACAGGUGGUCAGGUAGAGAAUACCAAGGCGCUUGAGAGAACUCGGGUGAAGGAACUAGGCAAAAUGGUGCCGUAACUUCGGGAGAAGGCACGCUGAUAUGUAGGUGAAGUCCCUCGCGGAUGGAGCUGAAAUCAGUCGAAGAUACCAGCUGGCUGCAACUGUUUAUUAAAAACACAGCACUGUGCAAACACGAAAGUGGACGUAUACGGUGUGACGCCUGCCCGGUGCCGGAAGGUUAAUUGAUGGGGUUAGCGCAAGCGAAGCUCUUGAUCGAAGCCCCGGUAAACGGCGGCCGUAACUAUAACGGUCCUAAGGUAGCGAAAUUCCUUGUCGGGUAAGUUCCGACCUGCACGAAUGGCGUAAUGAUGGCCAGGCUGUCUCCACCCGAGACUCAGUGAAAUUGAACUCGCUGUGAAGAUGCAGUGUACCCGCGGCAAGACGGAAAGACCCCGUGAACCUUUACUAUAGCUUGACACUGAACAUUGAGCCUUGAUGUGUAGGAUAGGUGGGAGGCUUGGAAGUGUGGACGCCAGUCUGCAUGGAGCCGACCUUGAAAUACCACCCUUUAAUGUUUGAUGUUCUAACGUUGACCCGUAAUCCGGGUUGCGGACAGUGUCUGGUGGGUAGUUUGACUGGGGCGGUCUCCUCCUAAAGAGUAACGGAGGAGCACGAAGGUUGGCUAAUCCUGGUCGGACAUCAGGAGGUUAGUGCAAUGGCAUAAGCCAGCUUGACUGCGAGCGUGACGGCGCGAGCAGGUGCGAAAGCAGGUCAUAGUGAUCCGGUGGUUCUGAAUGGAAGGGCCAUCGCUCAACGGAUAAAAGGUACUCCGGGGAUAACAGGCUGAUACCGCCCAAGAGUUCAUAUCGACGGCGGUGUUUGGCACCUCGAUGUCGGCUCAUCACAUCCUGGGGCUGAAGUAGGUCCCAAGGGUAUGGCUGUUCGCCAUUUAAAGUGGUACGCGAGCUGGGUUUAGAACGUCGUGAGACAGUUCGGUCCCUAUCUGCCGUGGGCGCUGGAGAACUGAGGGGGGCUGCUCCUAGUACGAGAGGACCGGAGUGGACGCAUCACUGGUGUUCGGGUUGUCAUGCCAAUGGCACUGCCCGGUAGCUAAAUGCGGAAGAGAUAAGUGCUGAAAGCAUCUAAGCACGAAACUUGCCCCGAGAUGAGUUCUCCCUGACCCUUUAAGGGUCCUGAAGGAACGUUGAAGACGACGACGUUGAUAGGCCGGGUGUGUAAGCGCAGCGAUGCGUUGAGCUAACCGGUACUAAUGAACCGUGAGGCUUAACCUUACAACGCCGAAGCUGUU
RNAcentral lists this ribosomal RNA (2930 nucleotides) under Escherichia coli. Its description in RNAcentral is "bacterial LSU rRNA". It matches the Rfam family "Bacterial large subunit ribosomal RNA". The record is from RNAcentral. Lineage: Bacteria; Pseudomonadati; Pseudomonadota; Gammaproteobacteria; Enterobacterales; Enterobacteriaceae.